This 173-nucleotide ribosomal RNA is filed under the name uncultured Syntrophus sp. RNAcentral describes it as "partial 16S ribosomal RNA". It matches the Rfam family "Bacterial small subunit ribosomal RNA", at positions 1210 to 1382 of the family's 1533-position model. The record is from RNAcentral. Lineage: Bacteria; Pseudomonadati; Thermodesulfobacteriota; Syntrophia; Syntrophales; Syntrophaceae.
UGGGCUACACACGUGCUACAAUGGUUGGUACAACGAGAGGCAAGCUCGCGAGAGUAAGCAAAUCUCAAAAAGCCAUCCUCAGUUCGGAUUGGAGUCUGCAACUCGACCCCAUGAAGUCGGAAUCGCUAGUAAUCGCGGAUCAGCACGCCGCGGUGAAUACGUUCCCGGGCCUU